Molecule: long non-coding RNA, 868 nt
Organism: Lynx canadensis (Canada lynx)
Lineage: Eukaryota; Metazoa; Chordata; Mammalia; Carnivora; Felidae
Exons: 2
Source: RefSeq, a predicted model, not a curated record
AACCCACGAACCAUAAGAUCAUGACCUGAGCUGAAGUCAAGACACUUAACGGACUGAGCCACCCAGGCGCCCCAGCCCAUUUAAUAACUUUACAGUGGCUUCUAAGGGUUCCAAUGCAAGAUCAGACUGGAUCAUGAAUGACACUAAAAGACAUCCGUUUGUAUGUAGAUGUUCAGUGAAUGGAAGAGGAAGUGAGCAGGAGGGAGAAAGAUGAAGCAAAGUGCCUUCAGCAAGAAGAGAGAACAGUAACAUUCACCUCAUGCUUGGAAGUACCAGAUUCUAGGAAGAAAGGAAUACAUUGUGGGUGAAAAGGGGGGUGCUGGUGGUUCUUUGAAACCCUUUAAAGAAGACGCAAACACCAGGUUCCCUCCCCAAACUCAAAUAGAAAAUGGGAGAUUAUAUUUUGGGUAAAGGGAAUUAGUGAGCCUCAGACCCGGGGCUGCCAGGGUGGGGUGCAGAAAGCACAAAUGAGGACAGGAUAAAAUGUCACACUGAAAACAGAAGGAUUCAGCAGAAGUCUGUGCAGUGAUGGGACACUGGGCGUCAUUUCCACAUCAAGCUCCAGAAGAGCAGCCAUCAAGGGGUGUAUCUACCUCCUCCCCGGCAGGAGGAGAACGGAUGACCCUUCUGGGGAGAAACUAAAACACCCCAAAGAAAAUACCAACAGGUACUAACAUUUGGGAUUUUCUACCAAAAAGCUAACCAUCUACCCAAAUGCCCUCCCAUGAAGCCCAGAACAACCCCAAUCUGCUUUAUGCUGAGUCGGUUUUUAAUAUAAACACUAAAGGUACCACAGGCAUUUGAAGAAAGCCUGCAGGUGAGUAAGAGAAGACAGUGCUUCCUUAAAGUAGCAGCAUGCUAUAAAAAA